RNAcentral lists this ribosomal RNA (459 nucleotides) under uncultured bacterium. Its description in RNAcentral is "bacterial SSU rRNA". It matches the Rfam family "Bacterial small subunit ribosomal RNA", at positions 28 to 507 of the family's 1533-position model. The record is from RNAcentral.
GAUGAACGUUGGCGGUGUGCCUAAUACAUGCAAGUCGAACGGAGAUUGUAGCAAUACGGUCUUAGUGGCGAACGGGUGAGUAACGCGUUGGUGAUCUGCCUCGAAGUGUGGAAUAACGAUUCGAAAGAAUCGCUAAUACCGCAUAGUCUCUCUUUUUCCAGAAAUUUGAGAGUAAAGGAUUUAUUCGCUUUGAGAGGAGCCUGCGUCCCAUCAGCUAGUUGGUAAGGUAAUGGCCUACCAAGGCGAUGACGGGUAGGGGACCUGAGAGGGUGGCCCCCCACAAUGGAACUGAAACACGGUCCAUACACCUACGGGUGGCAGCAGUAGGGAAUAUUAGAAAUGGACGAAAGUCUGAUCUAGCAACACCGCGUGUGCGAAGAAGGCCUUCGGGUUGUAAAGCACUUUUUGGAAGGAUUAGAAGGAAUAGUACUUCCAGAAUAAGUCUCGGCUAACUACGUG